RNAcentral lists this ribosomal RNA (372 nucleotides) under uncultured organism. Its description in RNAcentral is "partial 16S ribosomal RNA". It matches the Rfam family "Bacterial small subunit ribosomal RNA", at positions 527 to 896 of the family's 1533-position model. The record is from RNAcentral.
GGAGGGUGCAAGCGUUGUUCGGAAUUACUGGGCUUAAAGCGCGUGCAGGCGGAAUGUCAGGUGUCUUGUGAAAGCCCCGGGCUCAACCCGGGAACUGCUGGGCAAACCGACGUUCUUGAGGCAAGUAGAGGUGACUGGAACAACUGGUGGAGCGGUGAAAUGCGUAGAUAUCAGUUGGAACGCCGGAGGCGAAAGCGGGUCACUGGGCUUGUUCUGACGCUCAGACGCGAAAGCGUGGGUAGCAAACAGGAUUAGAUACCCUGGUAGUCCACGCCGUAAACGAUGCGCACUAGGUAUGAGAGGUUUUGACGCCGAUCGUGCCGAAGCAAAAGUGGUAAGUGCGCCGCCUGGGGGAGUACGGCCGCAAGGCUA